RNAcentral lists this ribosomal RNA (2899 nucleotides) under Klebsiella pneumoniae. RNAcentral's name for it is "bacterial LSU rRNA". It matches the Rfam family "Bacterial large subunit ribosomal RNA". The record is from RNAcentral. Lineage: Bacteria; Pseudomonadati; Pseudomonadota; Gammaproteobacteria; Enterobacterales; Enterobacteriaceae.
UUAAGCGACUAAGCGUACACGGUGGAUGCCCUGGCAGUCAGAGGCGAUGAAGGACGUGCUAAUCUGCGAAAAGCGUCGGUAAGGUGAUAUGAACCGUUAUAACCGGCGAUGUCCGAAUGGGGAAACCCAGUGCAAUUCGUUGCACUAUCGUUAACUGAAUACAUAGGUUAACGAGGCGAACCGGGGGAACUGAAACAUCUAAGUACCCCGAGGAAAAGAAAUCAACCGAGAUUCCCCCAGUAGCGGCGAGCGAACGGGGAGCAGCCCAGAGUCUGAAUCAGCUUGUGUGUUAGUGGAACGGUCUGGAAAGUCCGACGGUACAGGGUGAUAGUCCCGUACACCAAAAUGCACAGGCUGUGAACUCGAAGAGUAGGGCGGGACACGUGGUAUCCUGUCUGAAUAUGGGGGGACCAUCCUCCAAGGCUAAAUACUCCUGACUGACCGAUAGUGAACCAGUACCGUGAGGGAAAGGCGAAAAGAACCCCGGCGAGGGGAGUGAAAAAGAACCUGAAACCGUGUACGUACAAGCAGUGGGAGCACCUUCGGGUGUGACUGCGUACCUUUUGUAUAAUGGGUCAGCGACUUAUAUUCUGUAGCAAGGUUAACCGUAUAGGGGAGCCGCAGGGAAACCGAGUCUUAACUGGGCGUUAAGUUGCAGGGUAUAGACCCGAAACCCGGUGAUCUAGCCAUGGGCAGGUUGAAGGUUGGGUAACACUAACUGGAGGACCGAACCGACUAAUGUUGAAAAAUUAGCGGAUGACUUGUGGCUGGGGGUGAAAGGCCAAUCAAACCGGGAGAUAGCUGGUUCUCCCCGAAAGCUAUUUAGGUAGCGCCUCGUGAAUUCAUCUUCGGGGGUAGAGCACUGUUUCGGCUAGGGGGUCAUCCCGACUUACCAACCCGAUGCAAACUACGAAUACCGAAGAAUGUUAUCACGGGAGACACACGGCGGGUGCUAACGUCCGUCGUGAAGAGGGAAACAACCCAGACCGCCAGCUAAGGUCCCAAAGUCAUGGUUAAGUGGGAAACGAUGUGGGAAGGCACAGACAGCCAGGAUGUUGGCUUAGAAGCAGCCAUCAUUUAAAGAAAGCGUAAUAGCUCACUGGUCGAGUCGGCCUGCGCGGAAGAUGUAACGGGGCUAAACCAUGCACCGAAGCUGCGGCAGCGACACUAUGUGUUGUUGGGUAGGGGAGCGUUCUGUAAGCCUGCGAAGGUGACCUGUGAGGGUUGCUGGAGGUAUCAGAAGUGCGAAUGCUGACAUAAGUAACGAUAAAGCGGGUGAAAAGCCCGCUCGCCGGAAGACCAAGGGUUCCUGUCCAACGUUAAUCGGGGCAGGGUGAGUCGACCCUAAGGCGAGGCCGAAAGGCGUAGUCGAUGGGAAACAGGUUAAUAUUCCUGUACUUGGUGUUACUGCGAAGGGGGGACGGAGAAGGCUAUGUUAGCCGGGCGACGGUUGUCCCGGUUUAAGCAUGUAGGCUGAUUGUCCAGGCAAAUCCGGAUAAUCAAGGCUGAGGUGUGAUGACGAGGCACUACGGUGCUGAAGUAACAAAUGCCCUGCUUCCAGGAAAAGCCUCUAAGCAUCAGGUAACAUUAAAUCGUACCCCAAACCGACACAGGUGGUCAGGUAGAGAAUACCAAGGCGCUUGAGAGAACUCGGGUGAAGGAACUAGGCAAAAUGGUGCCGUAACUUCGGGAGAAGGCACGCUGGUGUGUAGGUGAAGUCCCUGCGGAUGGAGCUGAGACCAGUCGAAGAUACCAGCUGGCUGCAACUGUUUAUUAAAAACACAGCACUGUGCAAACACGAAAGUGGACGUAUACGGUGUGACGCCUGCCCGGUGCCGGAAGGUUAAUUGAUGGGGUUAUCCGUAAGGAGAAGCUCUUGAUCGAAGCCCCGGUAAACGGCGGCCGUAACUAUAACGGUCCUAAGGUAGCGAAAUUCCUUGUCGGGUAAGUUCCGACCUGCACGAAUGGCGUAAUGAUGGCCAGGCUGUCUCCACCCGAGACUCAGUGAAAUUGAACUCGCUGUGAAGAUGCAGUGUACCCGCGGCAAGACGGAAAGACCCCGUGAACCUUUACUAUAGCUUGACACUGAACAUUGAGCCUUGAUGUGUAGGAUAGGUGGGAGGCUUUGAAGCGUGGACGCCAGUCUGCGUGGAGCCAACCUUGAAAUACCACCCUUUAAUGUUUGAUGUUCUAACGUUGGCCCCUGACCGGGGUUGCGGACAGUGUCUGGUGGGUAGUUUGACUGGGGCGGUCUCCUCCCAAAGCGUAACGGAGGAGCACGAAGGUUAGCUAAUCCUGGUCGGACAUCAGGAGGUUAGUGCAAUGGCAUAAGCUAGCUUGACUGCGAGCGUGACGGCGCGAGCAGGUGCGAAAGCAGGUCAUAGUGAUCCGGUGGUUCUGAAUGGAAGGGCCAUCGCUCAACGGAUAAAAGGUACUCCGGGGAUAACAGGCUGAUACCGCCCAAGAGUUCAUAUCGACGGCGGUGUUUGGCACCUCGAUGUCGGCUCAUCACAUCCUGGGGCUGAAGUAGGUCCCAAGGGUAUGGCUGUUCGCCAUUUAAAGUGGUACGCGAGCUGGGUUUAGAACGUCGUGAGACAGUUCGGUCCCUAUCUGCCGUGGGCGCUGGAGAAUUGAGGGGGGCUGCUCCUAGUACGAGAGGACCGGAGUGGACGCAUCACUGGUGUUCGGGUUGUCAUGCCAAUGGCACUGCCCGGUAGCUAAAUGCGGAAGAGAUAAGUGCUGAAAGCAUCUAAGCACGAAACUUGCCCCGAGAUGAGUUCUCCCUGAGACUUUAAGUCUCCUGAAGGAACGUUGAAGACGACGACGUUGAUAGGCCGGGUGUGUAAGCGCAGCGAUGCGUUGAGCUAACCGGUACUAAUGAACCGUGAGGCUUAACCUU